Molecule: long non-coding RNA, 4206 nt
Organism: Phacochoerus africanus (Common warthog)
Lineage: Eukaryota; Metazoa; Chordata; Mammalia; Artiodactyla; Suidae
Exons: 3
Source: RefSeq, a predicted model, not a curated record
GGAGGCACCUGAGGACAGGUACUGCCUAGUGUCCAGGCAGGACAGAGACCAAGGCCAGGUCAGAGGGCGGGCAGUAGGUCCCAGGCUUUGGGUUGAGGUUCAAGCACUAGGCCCUGGGGACUGGGGGAGCAAGACCGCUGAAGAUACGGAGAUGCUGGCAGGAGGCAGGAUUGAGAACUGGGCGCAAGGGACUUCAUUGUGAGCCCGGGGGCUGGACCAGAGCUGCUUGGAGCCCUCCCGUCUGAGGACGGGAUGGAACCUAGCGAGCAAGGAGGCUGGACAUGGGAGGGCGUCCGGGGUGAAGGGGUCGGGGGUCAGGAGCCCGGGCUCCAAAGGGAAAUCGUUGCGGUUCGGACCCUGGCGUCCCGCUCGCCAGCCACGUGGCCUCGGCAGACACGGGACUUUCUCUCCUUCGGCGGAACCAGGAACCAGCCCUGCCUCACAGGCUGUGCCACGUCCAGACGGGGUCAGGCGGGGAGGCCCUCGGCUCUGUGUCUGGGACGCACGAGCUCUGCUGGCGUGAUUGAUCCGCGGGGACAGCCAGCCGGGCGGUGUCUACCGUCCAGAGUGUCCCUCCCGGGCUCUGCCGGCUGGGACCCCCGGGCCGAGGCCCCUCUGGGCGGACGCUCCCGGCCCCGUCAGCCUCUGCUUUAGCGUCUGUGUUCCUGACCCUUCACUCCCUGCGUGAGCUCUUUCCAGACUGAAAACAGGUGGCUGUCUCAAGAGGCCAGAGGUCACCCCUGGAGCCGUUGUCAGAUGCUGGCUUCCUUCUCGAAAGCUCCCUCAGGCCUGGGCGGGGCGAUGGGCCUCUGGGAGGCUACCUUCACCCACCCUUUGCGUUUUUCCUUCUCAAAUUCUGUUUCACCCUUCCCUCCUCACCAGAAGCAGAGGCAGAAUGGCAAACCCAAAACGAAAAGACACACACAACGACACACACACACACGCAACUAGAAAAACCUCAGCCUCUAUCUGUUUCCACCCCGCCGGCCACGUCCCAGGCCAGAGAUGGCAGGUGUGCCCCGCUCAGGACUCCUGUGUCCCUCCCCCACCCGGAGAAGCAGAGCUGCCCGCGCAAAGCCUUGGUCCACUGUGACUUGUGUCAUUUGUGACUAUGGUGUGCUUUUUGUUUUUCUUAGGGUAUUACAAUGUGCGUGUCCACAUUAUUUUAGAUAAGGCUGAAUAUGAAAUUGGAAUUAUAUCACUUCUUCCCCCAAGAGCCUGUCCUGCGUCCCCAGCCUCCUGGAAGGACAGCGCCACCAAAUACCUCAUCUGCAACCGGGAGCCCAGAGAGGGCCUUCGGCAGCCUCCCUCCGGUGACGGUGUCACGCUGCGCUCAGCCCUUCGCACCGGAGCCUGGGGUUCACUCCGCUCCCCCCAGCCCUCCCGCGAGGCUUGUCAGCGCCACCUCCAGAAGCGUCCCCAGAGCAGCCCCUUUCCCGUCUCCGCCACCUCCGUCCAGAAGCAGCCUCGUCUGUCCCCUGGGCUCCCGCAGGAGCGCCUGGCCUUCCCCUUCGCCCGCUCUCCGUGCAGCAGUCAAGGUGACGCUUCUGCUUAACACUGAACGCACCCUAAGUGCGCACCCAGAUCCAGCCGCCGGGAUGGGCCCCCGUCCCCCGCCUCCGUCCCUGCGGUGAGGCCAGUGCUCCCUCCCUCCCUCCACUGCUCAGUUAGCCGUGCUCCAUCCUCACCCGGGACUCUGCCCUGGCCCUUCCCUCCCUGGCACACCCUCUCCCCACAUGUGCCCACGGCCGUCUUCUUGCCACACGGGUCGGCUCCUCAGCGACGCCUUCGUGACCACUCCCUCUGGGUAGCCUCUGGCCCCCGACACGCUCGGUGCCUCACCCGGUCUUCCUGUCAGUACAGAGGGGCCACUCCCUCUUCUUUUCUUGUUUAUCUACUCGUCUGAUGCCUUCAUUUAGAAAGUAAGUUCCUCAGAGUUCCCCUGUGGUGCAGGGGGUUAAGGAUCUGGCGUUGUCACUGCUGCGGCUGAGGUGGCCGCUGUGACACAGCUUCCAUCCCUGGCCCAGGAGUUUCCACGUGCCACGGGCAUGGCCACAGAGAGGUAAGUUUCUCCCAGGGAAGGGCUCCAUCAUUGUAUUCACUUCCAGAUCCAGAUAAUCCUUAGCGUGUCCCAAAUGGGCGAUGCCUACUCCGCCGAAACAUUCGUCAUGGUUGAUCUGAAAUUCAAGUUUAGCCAGGCGCCCUGUUUUCUAACUGACACUCCUACCCGAGGCCCAUGGUACCACAUCUCGGGGACAUGGUGCCAAGAGCGGAAGCCAGACUGAAGAGAAGAGAGCAAAUGAUGUGGGCGAGAGAGGGGGCGGGAGAGGCAGAAAUGCAGAGGCCCUGGUGGCCCAGUGUUCGCCCUCUGACGGUGUCGGGAAGUCCCACAGCUCGGUGGCCCAAGGUCAGUGCCACCCCUGUCCUUUCUGUACUUUGUUUCCAGGCAUCAGUAAAGUCCCCUUUCACUUCGAAAUAACAGCCGACAUUCUUGAGCACGUAUGUGUGCCAGGCACUGGGCCGAGCGCUUGGAUGCACUGUCUCGCUGAGGCUGUCACCUCAGGGUCACCUCACACAGCUCGCUGAGGGUGUUGCUGUUGUGGCAUCUACAGAGGAAGCGCUGAGGGACAGAGACCCUAAAUAACGUCCUCAAGGUCACGCAGACUUGAAGCGGCAGAGCUGGGCUGCACAGCCAGGCCGUCCGAGGCCAGCGUGUGGGGCCACUGUGGGGAGAAGCCGUCCCUCACCCCCCAGGAGGUCCCAGGUGGCUUGGGUCGAGCAGACACCGGACUGCUGACCCUCGUGCGGCAGGCGGCAUCACGUGUGGGCUCAGGAACCAGACGAGCCAGGCUCCAAGCCACCUCCCUCACCCCUGGGGUGACUUUGGGAAAGCUCCCCUCUUGCCCUGAGCCUCAGCUUCCUCUCCUAGAAAGUGGAGUUGACAGUAGCAGUAGCUCUUGCACAGGAUGGACGUGGGGCUUUGAUGAAUUAAUGCCUGUAUACACACACGUAAAGAGCCAUCAGAUGAGUGAGCCUUUAAUAAAUAUUUACGGACAUUUUUAUUAUUUGCAGCUUUUCUCUGAUGCCCAGCACAGGCCCUGGCACGAAGGAAGUGCUCCUGAUUCCUGCAAGAAUGAAACCCUGCCAAGUCGGUGACUUACAGUUGAGGAAACGGAGGCUUCGAGACAUCGAGUGACCACAGAGGCCACAGAGAGAGGCCCAGAGGCUCCGACGUGCUCCUCACAGUACCCGUGCCUUUGCCCGCGCUGUGAGCCGUUAGGCGGGCAUAGGGUCCCGUUUUAUGGAGGAGGCACAGCGAGGUACAGCUCCUGCUGGAGGUCACGUCGGUGAUAAGAGCAGAGCAGGUCUGAAGCCAGCUUCCUCUGCCUCCCAGUCGAGUCUUUGUCCCCUGUACUCAACCGCUGCCCUCCGGAGAACCCCCCAAAGCACGGCAUCCCUCAGAUCUCCCAGCGACACCCGCCGAUCCCCUUCCUGCUGCGCGGAUGCCCGGCUGGGGCUCUGCCUGUGUCCCUGUGUCCACUGCCUCCCGCCUUCGUCCUGUCCUUCGCGGGCCACCGCCAGGGUCAGCUUUCAGAAAAACGCCUCCGAGUCCAGGGCCCUUGCUGGUCCUUCCGGGGUCCUUGACCGGAGCGCUGUGGUCUGGCCGGUUUUCCCUUCUGCUCCUUGAGCUCUGCGCUCGGGCUGGGCGGGAUGUGCCUUGUUCUCUCUGCCCUUGCGCUCGCCCUCCUCUCCUUUGCCAAGUCACCCUUCAGGGCUCAGGGACGUGUCUCUUCCUCCUGGAAGCCUUCCUUCCUGGGUCCCAGUCCUCUUCCUGUGUGUGCCUCGGCUCGGGUUCUUCGUCCUCUCUGUUGGAACCGCCUUUUUACAGAAGGAUCUGUCCCGUGUUCCCGGAAGGCAGGGGCUGCGUCCGCCUAUUCUCCCUGCAUCCCUCGAGCCCGGCGUGUUGGGUGCUGGGUGCCGGGUGGAGGCGCUUGGGGGAAAGCUGGUGAAUGAAGGAGGUUCCCAAAGACGUGAUGUUUUCUUGCACCGAGCACCAGGCUCAGGUGGCUGGCACACAGUAGGCUCUCCAUGCAUAUUUGUUUAGUGGAGGGUGGGUGAGUAUGUGCACUAAUAAACGUCACGGUUCGGGAGCUCCUGUCUUGGCGCAGAAGUUAACGAAUCCAACUAGGAACCAUGAGGGUGCGG